RNAcentral lists this ribosomal RNA (1346 nucleotides) under uncultured bacterium. RNAcentral describes it as "partial 16S ribosomal RNA". It matches the Rfam family "Bacterial small subunit ribosomal RNA", at positions 28 to 1381 of the family's 1533-position model. The record is from RNAcentral.
GACGAACUUUGGCGGCGUGCUUAACACAUGCAAGUCGAACGGAAAGGCCCUGCUUUUGUGGGGUGCUCGAGUGGCGAACGGGUGAGUAACACGUGAGUAACCUGCCCUUGACUUUGGGAUAACUUCAGGAAACUGGGGCUAAUACCGGAUAGGAGCUCCUGCUGCAUGGUGGGGGUUGGAAAGUUUCGGCGGUUGGGGAUGGACUCGCGGCUUAUCAGCUUGUUGGUGGGGUAGUGGCUUACCAAGGCUUUGACGGGUAGCCGGCCUGAGAGGGUGACCGGCCACAUUGGGACUGAGAUACGGCCCAGACUCCUACGGGAGGCAGCAGUGGGGAAUAUUGCACAAUGGGCGGAAGCCUGAUGCAGCAACGCCGCGUGCGGGAUGACGGCCUUCGGGUUGUAAACCGCUUUCGCCUGUGACGAAGCGUGAGUGACGGUAAUGGGUAAAGAAGCACCGGCUAACUACGUGCCAGCAGCCGCGGUGAUACGUAGGGUGCGAGCGUUGUCCGGAUUUAUUGGGCGUAAAGGGCUCGUAGGUGGUUGAUCGCGUCGGAAGUGUAAUCUUGGGGCUUAACCCUGAGCGUGCUUUCGAUACGGGUUGACUUGAGGAAGGUAGGGGAGAAUGGAAUUCCUGGUGGAGCGGUGGAAUGCGCAGAUAUCAGGAGGAACACCAGUGGCGAAGGCGGUUCUCUGGGCCUUUCCUGACGCUGAGGAGCGAAAGCGUGGGGAGCGAACAGGCUUAGAUACCCUGGUAGUCCACGCUGUAAACGGUGGGUACUAGGUGUGAGGUCCAUUCCACGGGUUCCGUGCCGUAGCUAACGCUUUAAGUACCCCGCCUGGGGAGUACGGCCGCAAGGCUAAAACUCAAAGGAAUUGACGGGGCCCCGCACAAGCGGCGGAGCAUGCGGAUUAAUUCGAUGCAACGCGUAGAACCUUACCUGGGUUUGACAUGGAUCGGGAGUGCUCAGAGAUGGGUGUGCCUCUUUUGGGGUCGGUUCACAGGUGGUGCAUGGCUGUCGUCAGCUCGUGUCGUGAGAUGUUGGGUUAAGUCCCGCAACGAGCGCAACCCUUGUUCACUGUUGCCAGCACGUUAUGGUGGGGACUCAGUGGAGACCGCCGGGGUCAACUCGGAGGAAGGUGGGGAUGACGUCAAGUCAUCAUGCCCCUUAUGUCCAGGGCUUCACGCAUGCUACAAUGGCUGGUACAGAGAGUGGCGAGCCUGUGAGGGUGAGCGAAUCUCGGAAAGCCGGUCUCAGUUCGGAUUGGGGUCUGCAACUCGACCUCAUGAAGUCGGAGUCGCUAGUAAUCGCAGAUCAGCAACGCUGCGGUGAAUACGUUCCCGGGGCU